RNAcentral lists this ribosomal RNA (565 nucleotides) under Rhodotorula mucilaginosa. Its description in RNAcentral is "eukaryotic LSU rRNA". It matches the Rfam family "Eukaryotic large subunit ribosomal RNA", at positions 44 to 626 of the family's 3401-position model. Lineage: Eukaryota; Fungi; Basidiomycota; Microbotryomycetes; Sporidiobolales; Sporidiobolaceae. The record is from RNAcentral.
CAAUAGCUGAGGAAAAGAAACUAACAAGGAUUCCCCUAGUAGCGGCGAGCGAAGCGGGAAGAGCUCAAAUUUAUAAUCUGGCACCUUCGGUGUCCGAGUUGUAAUCUCUAGAAAUGUUUUCCGCGUUGGACCGCACACAAGUCUGUUGGAAUACAGCGGCAUAGUGGUGAGACCCCCGUAUAUGGUGCGGACGCCCAGCGCUUUGUGAUACAUUUUCGAAGAGUCGAGUUGUUUGGGAAUGCAGCUCAAAUUGGGUGGUAAAUUCCAUCUAAAGCUAAAUAUUGGCGAGAGACCGAUAGCGAACAAGUACCGUGAGGGAAAGAUGAAAAGCACUUUGGAAAGAGAGUUAACAGUACGUGAAAUUGUUGGAAGGGAAACGCUUGAAGUCAGACUUGCUUGCCGAGCAAUCGGUUUGCAGGCCAGCAUCAGUUUUCCGGGAUGGAUAAUGGUAGAGAGAAGGUAGCAGUUUCGGCUGUGUUAUAGCUCUCUGCUGGAUACAUCUUGGGGGACUGAGGAACGCAGUGUGCCUUUGGCGGGGGUUUCGACCUCUUCACACUUAGGAUGC